AGUCGAACGGUAACAUUUCCAGCUUGCUGGAAGAUGACAAGUGGCGGACGGGUGAGUAAUACUUAGGGAUCUGCCUUUGAGAGGGGGAUAACCAUUGGAAACGAUGGCUAAUACCGCAUAAUGUCUACGGACCAAAGGGGGGCUUCGGCUCUCGCUCGAAGAGGAACCUAAGCGAGAUUAGCUUGUUGGUGAGGUAAAGGCUCACCAAGGCGACGAUCUCUAGCUGUUCUGAGAGGAAGAUCAGCCACACUGGGACUGAGACACGGCCCAGACUCCUACGGGAGGCAGCAGUGGGGAAUAUUGCACAAUGGGGGAAACCCUGAUGCAGCCAUGCCGCGUGUGUGAAGAAGGCCUUCGGGUUGUAAAGCACUUUCAGUCGUGAGGAAAGGGUGAGUGUUAAUACCAUUCAUCUGUGACGUUAGCGACAGAAGAAGCACCGGCUAACUCCGUGCCAGCAGCCGCGGUAAUACGGAGGGUGCGAGCGUUAAUCGGAAUUACUGGGCGUAAAGCGCACGCAGGCGGUUUGUUAAGCUAGAUGUGAAAGCCCCGCGCUCAACGUGGGAGGGUCAUUUAGAACUGGCAGACUAGAGUCUUGGAGAGGGGAGUGGAAUUCCAGGUGUAGCGGUGAAAUGCGUAGAGAUCUGGAGGAACAUCAGUGGCGAAGGCGACUCCCUGGCCAAAGACUGACGCUCAUGUGCGAAAGUGUGGGUAGCGAACAGGAUUAGAUACCCUGGUAGUCCACACCGUAAACGCUGUCUACUAGCUGUUUGUGGAUUUUAUCCGUGAGUAGCGAAGCUAACGCGCUAAGUAGACCGCCUGGGGAGUACGGCCGCAAGGUUAAAACUCAAAUGAAUUGACGGGGGCCCGCACAAGCGGUGGAGCAUGUGGUUUAAUUCGAUGCAACGCGAA
Molecule: ribosomal RNA, 909 nt
Filed under: uncultured bacterium
Lineage: Bacteria
Description: bacterial SSU rRNA
Rfam family: Bacterial small subunit ribosomal RNA
Source: RNAcentral